This 497-nucleotide ribosomal RNA is filed under the name uncultured bacterium. RNAcentral describes it as "partial 16S ribosomal RNA". It matches the Rfam family "Bacterial small subunit ribosomal RNA", at positions 28 to 507 of the family's 1533-position model. The record is from RNAcentral.
GAUGAACGCUGGCGGCGUGCCUAAUACAUGCCAGUCGAGCGAACGGACGAGAAGCUUGCUUCUCUGAUGUUAGCGGCGGACGGGGGAGUAACACGUGGAUAACCUACCUAUAAGACUGGGAUAACUUCGGGAAACCGGAGCUAAUACCGGAUAAUAUUUUGAACCGCAUGGUUCAAAAGUGAAAGACGGUCUUGCUGUCACUUAUAGAUGGAUCCGCGCUGCAUUAGCUAGUUGGUAAGGUAACGGCUUACCAAGGCAACGAUGCAUAGCCGACCUGAGAGGGUGAUCGGCCACACUGGAACUGAGACACGGUCCAGACUCCUACGGGAGGCAGCAGUAGGGAAUAUUGCGCAAUGGGCGAAAGCCUGACGGAGCAACGCCGCGUGAGUGAUGAAGGUCUUCGGAUCGUAAAACUCUGUUAUUAGGGAAGAACAUAUGUGUAAGUAACUGUGCACAUCUUGACGGUACCUAAUCAGAAAGCCACGGCUAACUACGUG